UCCGAGUUGACCCCGGCAGUCUCCUAUGAGUCCCCGGCAUUACCCGCUGGCAACAUAGAACGAGGGUUGCGCUCGUUGCGGGACUUAACCCAACAUCUCACGACACGAGCUGACGACAACCAUGCACCACCUGUGCACGACCCUUGCGGACCCCCCAUCUCUGGAGGAUUUCCGUGCAUGUCAAGCCCUGGUAAGGUUCUUCGCGUUGCAUCGAAUUAAACCACAUGCUCCGCUGCUUGUGCGGGGCCCCGUCAAUUCCUUUGAGUUUUAGCCUUGCGGCCGUACUCCCCAGGCGGGGUGCUUAAUGCGUUAGCUGCGCCACCGACGGGCAAGCCCGCCAACGGCUGGCAUUCAUCGUUUACGGCGUGGACUAC
RNAcentral lists this unclassified non-coding RNA (374 nucleotides) under uncultured Actinomycetes bacterium. RNAcentral describes it as "uncultured actinobacterium contains 16S-23S intergenic spacer region". Lineage: Bacteria; Bacillati; Actinomycetota; Actinomycetes. The record is from RNAcentral.